Pelobates cultripes (western spadefoot toad) is the source of this 236-nucleotide non-coding RNA. Lineage: Eukaryota; Metazoa; Chordata; Amphibia; Anura; Pelobatidae. The record is from the annotation of a GenBank genome assembly.
GUACGUUAUUUGUAAGUUGUAUUGGGCCACAUGGUUUGUCAUGUGCCCUGAACCAUUUGAACAUAUAUGCAACAGUCUAUAUGCAAUGCAACUACUCAUAUCAAUCGUCUCUGGUAGUUCAGAGGUGCUGGUACCUGGAGCCUGAGAGUGCUCGUCCAUUUGUUUGGGACAGAACCCCUUCUGUAUGGGUACCUGCACAAAUAAACAUCUCUACAUAUUCCAAAUACCAACCCAUC